UUAACUAAGGAGUUUGCAACUUGGUUUUGCUCUCUAAAACAAUGCACCACUGGUGGAUGUCCCACCCUUCUCAGCACACACCUCUAAGUCUGAGGAUCUAUGUACAUUAUACCUAUCAGAAGUGAACACAGAACUAUUUGACAAACCUGCAAAAUUGGCAAAGCUAGAUGAUUCACUAGCAGCAGGUUGUUGUUCAUGAGGAACUGAGGAGACAUGAGCCUGUUGAAACAAUGUCAUGAGAUGGAUGUAUUUUUCUUUAGUAAAACCAUAUGGGGAAUCUUGAGGAGAUGAGACAGCGGAGGUGAAAGGACCACUUGAUGGAUUUGGACAAUUAGGAUGUGCCAUGUGUACACAAGAAGCAGCUGGUAUCUUGUUCUUUAUGAACUUGAAAUUAGCUGGGAAUUUAUGAGGUCUAUAAUAGGUCUCAAUAUUAUGCCCACGUUUCUUGCAGUACUUGCAUGUAAUGGGCAGGUUUGGAUUCUUGUUUGAGUUGAAUGGAACCUUUUGAUUGUAAGUUCUAGGUGCAUGAGAUGAUGCAUGAAAAAAGACUGAUUUACUGGAGAAAUUUAGAAUUCCAGUUUGAGUUUCUUUUUUAACUUUCAUCCUACUAUAGGAGCCCAUACACUUUACUAAUUAAUGGCAAAGGUGUCAUCAUCAAUGUAUUACUCCUAACAGUGUUGUAAGUCUCAUUAAGGCCACUAAGGAAUUGGAACAACUAUUGAUCUUGGAUGAAUUUGCUCAAUGCUCUACAAGUACAUUCAGGUCCAACAUAUGAAGCAUUGAGUUCAUCCCAAAGGCCUCUCAUUUUGGUAAAAUAGCUAGAUAUACUAGAAGAUUCUUAAACUGUAGCAUUGAUCUCUCUUUGGAUAUGGAUAUACCUAGACCCAUUGGAUUGCCCAAAUCUAUCAUUUAUAUCUUUCCAUACUUCUCUAGCACUAGAUAGACAUAUCACACUGAUGAUUAUUUUCCUGGUCAGAGAAUUGAUGAUCCAUGCUUUGACCAUAUGGUCACAUCUUUCCCAAAAUGGGAAAUAUGGAUUAUUAGGAUCGGGUCUAAGGAGGUUGCCAUUCACCAUGCUUAAUUUGUUCUUGGCAGAUAGGGAAGUAAUUAUGUUGUUUCUCCAAAUAGCAUAACCAUUCCCAUUGAAAACCAUAGGUACUAGCUGAGAACUAGGAUUCUCAAAUGGAUGUACAUAAUACGGGUGUGAGGUAUCCAGAGUGAAUUCCUCAAACCCACCAGUUGUGGUAGAAUUCCCAGUAGUAGGGAUGGUUGAAUUCCCAGUAGUAGGGUUUACCAUAUCAAAUAUGCAAAUCUAUACUCAGACUACUUCAGAAAAUGCAGAGCACGCCCCAAUAUACAAAUACUGAGUGAAAUCCUUACAUUAUAGCUAUGAUAUACGAAUAUACAGCGAAUAUCUCAGUAUACAAAUCGAUAUGCGAAGAUUACACUUCAGAUCUAAAAGAUUUUGGGCAUACGAGCAAAAUACCAAUUUUUGAGAAAUGAGUAGUCGUAUGGAAAGAGUUUACUGUUCUUCUUCUUAAACCUGAAGAAGAUCAGGUCUUGCACAACAUAGAUCGGACCUGAACCACUUUAUACCUCCACAAAAUCUUUAGAAACUCCAUUUGAGGGUAGUAUCGGACGAAUGCGCACUUUGAGAUCUAUCAGAAAACCUGCUCUAAUACCAUGUUAAGCUCAAAAUCGAGCUGAAUUUGGUGAAACAAAUCGAACAAUCCUAAUCUGAUUUUGAGAGAAUGAAUGGAGAAAGGGAGAAAAAAUCUUUUCUUAUUCUCUUGGAAUCGUCUAGAAUCAGGUCCACUAUUAUUUAUACUUGAUAAUAGUAGACCGGGUUAUCAAUGUGAUUACAGACAAAUGAGGCCCAAUCUGUCAUAAUAAUGAAUUGGCCCAAU
Molecule: long non-coding RNA, 1907 nt
Filed under: Capsicum annuum
Lineage: Eukaryota; Viridiplantae; Streptophyta; Magnoliopsida; Solanales; Solanaceae
Description: long non-coding RNA (CANN_LNC005978)
Source: RNAcentral